This 471-nucleotide ribosomal RNA is filed under the name uncultured bacterium. RNAcentral's name for it is "bacterial SSU rRNA". It matches the Rfam family "Bacterial small subunit ribosomal RNA", at positions 328 to 793 of the family's 1533-position model. The record is from RNAcentral.
CUCUGUGACUCCUACGGGAGGCAGCAGUGGGGAAUAUUGCACAAUGGGCGCAAGCCUGAUGCAGCCAUGCCGCGUGUGUGAAGAAGGCCUUCGGGUUGUAAAGCAUUUCAGUUGUGAGGAAGGUGGUGUCGUUAAUAGCGGCAUCAUUUGACGUUAGCAACAGAAGAAGCACCGGCUAACUCCGUGCCAGCAGCCGCGGUAAUACGGAGGGUGCGAGCGUUAAUCGGAAUUACUGGGCGUAAAGCGCAUGCAGGUGGUUUGUUAAGUCAGAUGUGAAAGCCCGGGGCUCAACCUCGGAACUGCAUUUGAAACUGGCAGACUAGAGUACUGUAGAGGGGGUAGAAUUUCAGGUGUAGCGGUGAAAUGCGUAGAGAUCUGAAGGAAUACCGGUGGCGAAGGCGGCCCCCUGGACAGAUACUGACACUCAGAUGCGAAAGCGUGGGGAGCAAACAGGAUUAGAUACCCUGGUAG